Molecule: RNA transcript, 2851 nt
Organism: Aquila chrysaetos chrysaetos
Lineage: Eukaryota; Metazoa; Chordata; Aves; Accipitriformes; Accipitridae
Gene: MTRFR
Gene name: mitochondrial translation release factor in rescue
Exons: 4
Source: RefSeq, a predicted model, not a curated record
AAAAAAAAGUUAUACGUUCUAGUGCCACCAAGUGGACAUCUUUACUUGCCAAUGAAAGCUUGCUUUAAAAUUAUUUUUAUUUCAACAGUUACGUUCAACUUUUAUGGAUGUUUAUUGCUAAGUGACGCUUCUUCACACACUGAAGUAUUUUCUUCUGAAUCGAAAUAUGUCAAGCGCAACAGCUGCUUACCUAAUGCCUUGUUGAAGAGUGCCAUUUGACAGCAGUAGAACCUGACAUUCCUCAUUAUCCAUGAGGAUAAUGCAUACUUCCAUGCAUACUUUUCUGCCUUUGUUAAUAACUUGACCUGGGAAAAAUCAGCAUAUGAAAUAGUAGUUGAAAACCUGGUGGUCUGCUUACUCCUUGAGUCUCUUUCCUCCAUCUGAUGGACUAUACAGGAAGUUACAAGAGUAGAGCAGGAUGGGCAAGCUUGUUAACAGGAUCAACAUAGAAUACUUCUGAUUUGAAAUGGAAUUUACCACAUUUGCUGUAUUAGACCACUCACCAAAUCCUAUGCACGCUAGAGCUUGACCUCAAAAUCUGGAAACCACUGUAAUGGAGCAAGGUCAAAAGAAAAGUCUAGAUCAGGUUUCAUUCCAGAGAAACUGUGUCCCCAUUUCUGUAUGAAUGUUCCAAGUUUCUUUCCUUUUAUGUUCUUACGAACACCAUCGUGGAGACCAUGGAUUCUGAGGAAGCAGCAAUUUUCUCUGCUCAGAGUGCGCUUACUUCAGGCAGCAGGAAAGAAGAACUCUUUCAAUCUCAUUGGACUAACUGAGGCAGAAUUAAAAGAAACAUUUGUAAGAGGUGAUGGCCCAGGAGGUCAAGCCACAAAUAAGACAAACAACUGUGUUGUCUUGAAGCAUAUUCCAUCUGGGAUUGUAGUGAAGUGUCAUCAAACAAGAUCAGUGGAGCAGAACCGAAAGAUAGCCAGAGAAAUCCUGCAGGAAAAAGUUGACCUCUUCUACAAAGGUGAAGACAGUGAUGUUUUUAAAGAGAAGAAAGCAUCAGAGAAGAAGAAGCAGGAGAAAAAAAGAAGAGCAAAGGAAAACCUAGAAAGGAAAAAGCAUUUUAAAGAGAUGCAACAAUUGGAUAAGAAAUAAACAUGUGAAAUACUGACUUGCCCUAGUAGGGUAAGGGAAACGUUUGUCAUUACACCUAAACACAGUUUUCAAACUAGCAGAUGAUGUAGGGCUUCAUAAGCAGAACUGAAAUACUGAGUAUUGACCUGCUAUUACUGUAAAACUGACGUGAUAAAAGCAGUCAUGUAUUCCUACUUCUGUCUGCCAUCUUCUCAUUAAUGACUUUUAGCGAUCAGUUUUUCUGCCAAGUUCCGAAGAUGAUGAACCAAUCCUUGUUCAAAAGGAACUAUAACCUCUCCACCAUUGUUAAUGGAGACAAAAAAAAUGCAAUAGAUCUACUGCCCAGCUGAUACCUUAUGAUGCUUUGUAGGAGUUCCAAUACAUACAGAGAACAGCCCUAAAGGGUUAUAACUUUCCAUCCUUACUCAGCCAAUGCCUCUGCUGACACAAAUCCUUUAUAAACAGUGACCAGGUUUAGAUACUGGUUCUGAUGGUGUAAACAGACAUGCGGAUGGAAGAGACACCAGUUGCUGGUUGCCUUCUUCAGAUCUGUUAGCUGAACAAAUGCUCUGUCCUACUCCAUUAUGAAUUAAGUUUAAACAGAAGCUUUACAAAUCUUAUCUGGAGUGGUGAAGAGCACUGGGGUGGAAGGCACUCCUGCAAGUGAGGGUUGAUCCAUCAUGUUCUUCAGUUCAAAGGUAAAAUUGAGUCAUUACAGAUAAAGAACACCACGUGUUGGAAGCUGCCUCCCAAGGCAACAGAAUCCAAUUCAUCCAAGCUGUGAACACCCUCACUGGCUGCCACCAAGUUUUGGCCUUCAACAGUGAAGGGAGAGUGCUUCAAGAACCAAAGCCAUAGGAAGUAUUUUGAAAGCAAUGGAGACUACUAGCAACUAUACCACCUUCUUACAGAGAUCAGUUGCAUCCAGACUGUGCCAUGGAUGGAAACUCACCAGCAAUCUGCAGGCCCGUUCCCUUGUCCGUUCCUGAACUUGAGCCUCCUGCAUGAAGGUUAAAUUUUUAUCUGUUGAGAGUUCUUGUUCAUGGAGUAUGAAUCCGAUCAAAGUGACUAUACAUAGUUUUAAUACAAACUGUUAAUGAAAAUAAGCUUUAUUACAUCAAGUAAUAAAUACAUACAAAGAUGCAAAUAACAGUUUUAGUAAUUUAUCCAGAAUUCUCUUUUUUUGGCAAACUUUAAACUGAAAUCUCCAGCCUUAAUGUAGAACUUAGCUUUCCAGGACCUUGUUAUUAUUCAAUAGGUUUCCCUAUUUUCCAUAUAACUCAUGCACUUUAAGUGGACUUCAAAGCACUAACAGUCAUGCAAAUGUUUAUGCAAAACAAACAAAAAAGGAAAAAUAAGAGAAGGGGAAGGUUAUUUCUAAGCAGGGUCUAUGCUGUAUGACAAAUUGUGACUUAGCAGACUACUAGGUACAGCAUGCUAUUCUGCAUUUAUUAAAAAAAAUCCUUAGAGCUUAUGUCAAACUUUGAAAGAUUGACAGUUUGGGGUUAAGUGAAUAUAGUCAAAGGAAAAAAAACAGAAUGAGACUGUGGCUGGAUAAGAAGAGAACUGAAAUAUAGCCUGGGAGAGAAAGAGCAUUCCUCUGCAUGCAGUUCAGUUUUCAUGUUUUAGAAACAUUUUAGGGAGUUUUAACGUCUUUACAAAAUGCAAACUCUCAGUAAGUUGAAAAACCCUUGUUUUCUCAUUCUUAACUAUACAUUUUUGUAAGGGCAAAACAAGAAAGGUAAAACAUUCAAAAUAAAGGAAUUUGUCUGAA